RNAcentral lists this non-coding RNA (556 nucleotides) under Solanum tuberosum (potato). RNAcentral's name for it is "Eukaryotic large subunit ribosomal RNA". It matches the Rfam family "Eukaryotic large subunit ribosomal RNA", at positions 33 to 588 of the family's 3401-position model. The record is from Rfam by way of RNAcentral. Lineage: Eukaryota; Viridiplantae; Streptophyta; Magnoliopsida; Solanales; Solanaceae.
ACUACUCCACAUAUCAAUAAGCGGAGGAAAGGAAACUUACAAGGAUUCCCUUAGUAACGGCGAGUGAACCGGGAACCCGCCUUAGAAUCGGGAGGUUCCAUCGUCUAAAUUGUAGUCAGGAGAAGCGUCCUCAGCGACAGCCGGGCCCAAGUCUCCUGGAAGGGGGCGCCAGAGACGGUGAGAGCCCCAUUGUUCUCGGACCCUAUCGUACCACGAGGCGCUGUCUACAAGUCGAGUUGUUUGGGAAUGCAGCCCAAAUCGGGGGGUGAAUUCCGUCCAAGGCUAAAUACGGGUAAGAGAUCGAUAGCGAACAAGUACUGCGAGGGAAAGGUGAAAAGGACUUUGACAAGAGAGUCAAAGAGUGUUUGAAAUUGUCGGGAGGGAAGCGGAUGGGAGCCGGCGAUGUACCCCGGUCGGAUGUGGAAUGGUGAAGAGCCUGUCCGCCGAUCGACUCGGGGAGUGGAUCAGCGUUAAUUGGGGGGGAGACCAAAACCUGUACUAGGAUCAACUGCACAUCCAUUUAUCAAGUUGGCACUCUUUCCUUCCAAAAACAUAC